GUCUCAAGAUUACGUCUCCUCCCAUUGCGUUUCUUGAGUGUUCCCCUCUGAAGAUUUUCAUGGCUGAUAUUAUCGCCGAGAUCUUCAAACUUUAGCCGGACAAUUGUCCGGCUUUUUUUU
Molecule: small RNA, 120 nt
Filed under: Bartonella tamiae Th239
Lineage: Bacteria; Pseudomonadati; Pseudomonadota; Alphaproteobacteria; Hyphomicrobiales; Bartonellaceae
Description: Alphaproteobacterial ar15
Rfam family: Alphaproteobacterial ar15
Source: Rfam by way of RNAcentral